This is a small nuclear RNA of Papaver somniferum (opium poppy), 98 nucleotides long. NCBI's taxonomy places the organism in Eukaryota, Viridiplantae, Streptophyta, Magnoliopsida, Ranunculales, Papaveraceae. The record is from RefSeq and is a predicted model, not a curated record.
GUCCCUUCGGGGACAUCUGAUAAAAUUGGAACGACACAAGAUUAGCAUGGCCUUUGCGUAGAAAUGACAUUUUUUCUCUGGAAAAAGAAGGUAAUAUA